AAAUAUAUACUCACUGGCGCAGUGUGACGUCGCAUCAAAACACGUAUACGACUUGAUGGACAGCCAGAAAUAUGCAAACUAGGAAAAACUGGCUUGUGUCACGACGACUAUUGUUAUUGGCUAACGGUAGAUAUGCAGGAAUAUCACUAAUGCAAACUGUGGCGAAUUAUGUAUUAUAUUUUCUUUGCUGCAAUCCCAUUAGACAACUAGAAAACAGACGUCAACUGCAGCGUGUUGCAUUGGUUGUUGCAGCAAAGUGAAAAGGUUCAAGUUGAGGGUCGUUACAUGUCAUGAUGGGAGAAAAGGGCAAAGCUUGUUGCAUGCCAGCGUGUGGCAUGCAUCGGCCGCAAGGCCUAUCAGAUGUUUUUUUUUUUUGUCUUUCUAUUUUCUAUUUAUAGCAUUAUAAAUAUUCAACGGCGAGCGGCAAUAACUGUACAUUUAAGCAAGCCACAAUAAGAA
Non-coding RNA from Drosophila virilis, 459 nucleotides. The record is from RefSeq and is a predicted model, not a curated record. NCBI's taxonomy places the organism in Eukaryota, Metazoa, Arthropoda, Insecta, Diptera, Drosophilidae.